GAUGAACGCUGGCGGCGUGCCUAAUACAUGCAAGUCGAGCGAACAGACGAGGAGCUUGCUCCUCUGACGUUAGCGGCGGACGGGUGAGUAACACGUGGAUAACCUACCUAUAAGACUGGGAUAACUUCGGGAAACCGGAGCUAAUACCGGAUAAUAUAUUGAACCGCAUGGUUCAAUAGUGAAAGACGGUUUUGCUGUCACUUAUAGAUGGAUCCGCGCCGCAUUAGCUAGUUGGUAAGGUAACGGCUUACCAAGGCAACGAUGCGUAGCCGACCUGAGAGGGGGAAGGACCCCCUGGGAGAUGAGGAACGGCCACACCUCCAAGGGGAGGCAGGAGAGGGGAAUCUGCCGGAAAGGGGGAAAGCAUGAGGGGCCAACGCCGGGUGGGUGAUGGAGUUUUUCGGAGUGGAAAACUAUGUUAUUAGGGAAGAAAAAAUGUGUAAGUAAAUAAGCGGCUUUGACGGGAUCCGAAGAAGAAGCCCAGGCUUACUCUCGG
RNAcentral lists this ribosomal RNA (496 nucleotides) under uncultured bacterium. RNAcentral's name for it is "partial 16S ribosomal RNA". It matches the Rfam family "Bacterial small subunit ribosomal RNA", at positions 28 to 507 of the family's 1533-position model. The record is from RNAcentral.